This 492-nucleotide ribosomal RNA is filed under the name uncultured bacterium. RNAcentral's name for it is "partial 16S ribosomal RNA". It matches the Rfam family "Bacterial small subunit ribosomal RNA", at positions 29 to 507 of the family's 1533-position model. The record is from RNAcentral.
AGUGAACGCUGGCGGUAGGCCUAACACAUGCAAGUCGAACGGCAGCACAGUAAGAGCUUGCUCUUACGGGUGGCGAGUGGCGGACGGGUGAGGAAUACAUCGGAAUCUACUUUUUCGGGGGGGAUAACGUAGGGAAACUUACGCUAAUACCGCAUACGACCUACGGGUGAAAGCAGGGGAUCUUCGGACCUUGCGCGAUUGAAUGAGCCGAUGUCGGAUUAGCUAGUUGGCGGGGUAAAGGCCCACCAAGGCGACGAUCCGUAGCUGGUCUGAGAGGAUGAUCAGCCACACUGGAACUGAGACACGGUCCAGACUCCUACGGGAGGCAGCAGUGGGGAAUAUUGGACAAUGGGCGCAAGCCUGAUCCAGCCAUACCGCAUGGGUGAAGAAGGCCUUCGGGUUGUAAAGCCCUUUUGUUGGGAAAGAAAAGCAGCAGGUUAAUACCCCGCUGUUCUGACGGUACCCAAAGAAUAAGCACCGGCUAACUUCGUG